GUGGGAGGGGGCUUGCCCCCGAUGGCGGCCUGUCAGUCAGCGUGUUUAUAGCUGACCCACCGCCAUCGGGGGCAAGCCCCCUCCCAC
Molecule: unclassified non-coding RNA, 87 nt
Filed under: Pseudomonas orientalis
Lineage: Bacteria; Pseudomonadati; Pseudomonadota; Gammaproteobacteria; Pseudomonadales; Pseudomonadaceae
Source: RNAcentral